AUUGGUUCUAUAUGUGAUCGGGUUGGUAACACGACUUGGAUUUCUCACCCUCGGGGGUCGUGAUGGCUCCUACUAAUAGGAGCUAGGCAUGCCAAACUUAAUAACUUUCAUUAACAACAUAAUCCUUUAAAUAAUUAUUAGCAUUAAAAUAAAAGCAAUGGAAUUAAAGUCAUAAGUGGAAGUCUUAAUUAUAGAAAACUGGAUAGAAAUGCGAAAAACUUCAACAUAAGCUUUUACCCAAGACUGGCGUCACAAUACUUACGAACAUCUAAGAAUACUAAAUACAAUAUCUGAUAGAAAUACAUAUGUUUGUCUCGAAUAUAAUGAGAUAACAAUCUAAAGUAAAGGAUAGAGGAGACGCCAGGCUUGCGGACGCCUGCAAGGCUACCUCGGUGUCUCGCUGGACUGAAGGCAUGCUCCCACGCUAUUGCUGGUGUUGUCCAAAACAUGAAUCUGUGCAGAAUAGCACAGUGUAGUAUCAUCAUAACUGACCCCAUGUGAUGGCAAGUGCCCAGCCUAACUUCGGGGAAGUAGUGACGAGGCUAGGAUCAGACUACCAAGUAAACAUGUGCAGAUAUAUAGUAUAUUGUAGAAAAUAAACAAGUAAUGAGCAGUUAUAAGGGAGGGGGUACAUGCCUCGAGGAAACUGUCCAACUUAGCAGAAAUUGAAUAACAUAUGAAGGAACAGUACAAUGUCUAAAACCAUAUGAUAGCACUGUUGUUGCGGCGCGCAACCGAUCCGUACUUUUAACUAUAACUGUUGCGGCAUGCAACCUGACCCAAUAAGUAUAACAUAUACCUGUUGUGGCGUGCAACAUGAUCCAUUCUAAUUUACAUUGCGAUGUGCAACCCGAUCCACUACAGCGUAUAUGCGGCGUGCAACCCGUUCCAAAAUACAUAAAUUAACAUAACCACAACCACAAACCUCGGUAGGGAAUCAAUCAUAGAAUACCCUAUCCCGGCAAGGGAACUCAACAGUACAAGUAUACUUAUCCCGGCAAGAGAGAAAAUCUACAAACAACAAAAUAUCUCGGCAAGGGGAUAAACCAAUAUCUCUUUCUCUUUCUUUCAUUUUCAUCUCAUAAUUCACAUUAUCACCUG
RNAcentral lists this long non-coding RNA (1101 nucleotides) under Nicotiana benthamiana. Its description in RNAcentral is "long non-coding RNA (NBEN_LNC023841)". The record is from RNAcentral. Lineage: Eukaryota; Viridiplantae; Streptophyta; Magnoliopsida; Solanales; Solanaceae.